UACAACUCUGAUCGGUGGAUCACUCGGCUCGUG
Molecule: ribosomal RNA, 33 nt
Filed under: Microphallus primas
Lineage: Eukaryota; Metazoa; Platyhelminthes; Trematoda; Plagiorchiida; Microphallidae
Description: partial 5.8S ribosomal RNA
Source: RNAcentral